This 88-nucleotide transfer RNA is filed under the name Mycolicibacterium litorale. RNAcentral describes it as "tRNA-Asp". The record is from RNAcentral. Lineage: Bacteria; Bacillati; Actinomycetota; Actinomycetes; Mycobacteriales; Mycobacteriaceae.
GACGACGGUGACCGCGGCGAUGGUCGGUCUGGCGCUGUCGGCGCUGGCGAAGUCCAACGAGCAGAUCAUGCCGCUGCUCGUCGUCGCC